This 492-nucleotide ribosomal RNA is filed under the name uncultured bacterium. RNAcentral's name for it is "partial 16S ribosomal RNA". It matches the Rfam family "Bacterial small subunit ribosomal RNA", at positions 28 to 507 of the family's 1533-position model. The record is from RNAcentral.
GGUGAACGCUGGCGGUAGGCCUAACACAUGCAAGUCGAGCGGCAGCACAGUAAGAGCUUGCUCUUACGGGUGGCGAGUGGCGGACGGGUGAGGAAUACAUCGGAAUCUACUUUUUCGUGGGGGAUAACGUAGGGAAACUUACGCUAAUACCGCAUACGACCUACGGGUGAAAGCAGGGGAUCUUCGGACCUUGCGCGAUUGAAUGAGCCGAUGUCGGAUUAGCUAGUUGGCGGGGUAAAGGCCCACCAAGGCGACGAUCCGUAGCUGGUCUGAGAGGAUGAUCAGCCACACUGGAACUGAGACACGGUCCAGACUCCUACGGGAGGCAGCAGUGGGGAAUAUUGGACAAUGGGCGCAAGCAUGAUCCAGCCAUACCGCGUGGGUGAAGAAGGCCUUCGGGUUGUAAAGCCCUUUUGUUGGGAAAGAAAAGCAGCAGGUUAAUACCCCGCUGUUCUGACGGUACCCAAAGAAUAAGCACCGGCUAACUUCGUG